GGGGUUAAAAUUAAUAAUUAGUGUUGAUUUAAUAAAAGAAAUUUUAAUAUUAAAAUAUUUAAUGGGGGUUAAAGUAUUUUUAAUAGAAAAAAUUUGAAAUUUUAUAGUUAAUAAGUAUUGUGAAAGAAAUUUGAAAUAAAUUUAAAAUAAAUUUUUUUAAAAGUAAAUUUGAUUUAUUGUAUCUUGUGUAUCAGAGUUUAUUAAAAAUUUUUUAAAUUUUAAAUUUCUCGAAUUUAAAAGAGUUAAUUAAUUAUUAAAUUUAUUGUUUCAUAAAUAUUUUAAAUAAUUAAUUGGAAAUGAAAUGUUAUUCGUUUUUAAAUAUAUCUAGUUUUUUAAGAAAAAAAUUUAAUUUUUAAUUAAUUUUAAAAAUUAAUUAAUUAAAAUUAAUUAAUUUUUAAAAUUUAAUUUAAUAUUUUAAGGGAUAAGCUUUAAAUUAAAUUUUUAUAAUUUAUUUAUUUAUAAAUUUGAAAAUUUUAUAAUUUAUAUUGUUAAUAAAUUUUAAUUUAUUAUAAAUAAUUUCAUUAAAUUUAAAAAUUUAAUUAAUAAUUUAAUAUUUUAUUAAAAAAUAUUUUAUAAUAAAUUAUAUUUAGUUAUAAUGAUAAAAUUAGUAUAUAAUAUAAUUAUGAUAUUAAAAUUUAUAUUUAUGAUAAUUAUUUUAAAGGAAUUCGACAAAAUUUUAUAUUCACCUGUUUAUCAAAAACAUGUCUUUUUGUGAAUAAUUUAAAGUCUAAUCUGCCCACUGAUUUUUAAUUAAAGGGCUGCAGUAUAUUGACUGUACAAAGGUAGCAUAAUCAAUAGUCUCUUAAUUGGUGACUUGUAUGAAGGAUUGGAUGAAAUAUAGAUUGUCUCUAAUAUAUAUAUUUGAAUUUAAUUUUUUAUUUAAAAAGUUAAAAUAAUUUAAAAAGACGAGAAGACCCUAUAGAGUUUUAUAUUUAUUUAAUUUUAGGUUAUAUUUUAAUUUAAUUUAAACUUAAAUUUAAUUAAUUAUUUUGUUGGGGUGAUAAAAAAAUAAAUAAAACUUUUUUUUAAUUUAAUCAUUGAUUUAUGAAUUAUUGAUCCAAUUAUUAUUGAUUAUAAGAAAAAAUUACCUUAGGGAUAACAGCGUAAUUUUUUUUUUUAGUACUUAUAAGAAAAAGAGUUUGCGACCUCGAUGUUGGAUUAAGAUAAAAUUUAAAUGCAAAAGUUUAAAAUUUUUGAUCUGUUCGAUCAUUAAAAUCUUACAUGAUCUGAGUUCAAACCGGUGUAAGCCAGGUUGGUUUCUAUCUUUUAAAAAUUUUUAAUAUUUUAGUACGAAAGGAUUAAAUAUUAUAAUUAAAUUAAUUGUUUUUGAAUUUUAUUAAUAAUUUAAUAUAUUUAUUA
This 1359-nucleotide ribosomal RNA is filed under the name Ambulyx schauffelbergeri. RNAcentral describes it as "16S ribosomal RNA". The record is from RNAcentral. Lineage: Eukaryota; Metazoa; Arthropoda; Insecta; Lepidoptera; Sphingidae.